RNAcentral lists this ribosomal RNA (504 nucleotides) under uncultured bacterium. Its description in RNAcentral is "bacterial SSU rRNA". It matches the Rfam family "Bacterial small subunit ribosomal RNA", at positions 25 to 518 of the family's 1533-position model. The record is from RNAcentral.
CAGGAUGAACGCUAGCGGCAGGCCUAAUACAUGGCAAGUCGAACGGGAAAGGCUCCUUCGGGGGCCGUUGAGAGUGGCGCACGGGUGCGCAACGCGUAUGCAACAACCCCCGGACAGGCGGAUAGCCGGUGGAAACGCCGGAUAAUACGCCAUGGUUCCCCGGGAGGGCAUCCUCCUAGGGAUAAAGCAGCGAUGCGGUCGGGGACGGGCAUGCGUGCCAUUAGCUUGGUUGGCGGGGCGACGGCCCACCAAGGCUGCGAUGGCUAGGGGAUCUGAGAGGACGGUCCCCCACACUGGUACUGAGACACGGACCAGACUCCUGCGGGAGGCAGCAGUAAGGGAUAGUUGGUCAAUGGGCGGAAGCCUGAACCAGCCCAUGCCGCGUGAGGGAAUGAGGCCCUACGGGUCGUGAACCUCUUUUAUUCGGGGACAAGGACGGCGUCGUGAACGCCGUUUGAGGGUACCGAAGGAAUAAGCGUCGGCUAACUCCGUGCCAGCCGCCGC